This 729-nucleotide ribosomal RNA is filed under the name Georgenia sp. RNAcentral's name for it is "bacterial SSU rRNA". It matches the Rfam family "Bacterial small subunit ribosomal RNA", at positions 101 to 838 of the family's 1533-position model. Lineage: Bacteria; Bacillati; Actinomycetota; Actinomycetes; Allobogoriellales; Allobogoriellaceae. The record is from RNAcentral.
AACGGGUGAGUAACACGUGAGUAACCUGCCCCUGACUUCGGGAUAACUUCGAGAAAUCGUGGCUAAUACCGGAUAUGACACGUGCCUGCAUGGGUGUGUGUGGAAAGAUUUAUCGGUUGGGGAUGGGCUCGCGGCCUAUCAGCUUGUUGGUGGGGUGAUGGCCUACCAAGGCGACGACGCCUAGCCGGCCUGAGAGGGUGACCGGCCACACUGGGACUGAGACACGGCCCAGACUCCUACGGGAGGCAGCAGUGGGGAAUAUUGCACAAUGGGCGAAAGCCUGAUGCAGCGACGCCGCGUGAGGGAUGACGGCCUUCGGGUUGUAAACCUCUUUCAGUAGGGAAGAAGCCCUUCGGGGUGACGGUACCUGCAGAAGAAGCGCCGGCUAACUACGUGCCAGCAGCCGCGGUAAUACGUAGGGCGCAAGCGUUGUCCGGAAUUAUUGGGCGUAAAGAGCUCGUAGGCGGUUUGUCGCGUCUGCUGUGAAAACGCAAGGCUUAACCUUGCGCCUGCAGUGGGUACGGGCAGACUAGAGUGCGGUAGGGGAGACUGGAAUUCCUGGUGUAGCGGUGGAAUGCGCAGAUAUCAGGAGGAACACCGAUGGCGAAGGCAGGUCUCUGGGCCGUUACUGACGCUGAGGAGCGAAAGCAUGGGGAGCGAACAGGAUUAGAUACCCUGGUAGUCCAUGCCGUAAACGUUGGGCACUAGGUGUGGGAUCCAUUCCACGGG